This 586-nucleotide ribosomal RNA is filed under the name uncultured bacterium. RNAcentral's name for it is "partial 16S ribosomal RNA". It matches the Rfam family "Bacterial small subunit ribosomal RNA", at positions 355 to 1375 of the family's 1533-position model. The record is from RNAcentral.
UGGGGAAUUUUGGACAAUGGGCGAAAGCCUGAUCCAGCAAUGCCGCGUGUGUGAAGAAGGCCUUCGGGUUGUAAAGCACUUUUGUCCGGAAAGAAAUCCUUGGCUCUAAUACAGUCGGGGGAUGACGGUACCGGAAGAAUAAGCACCGGCUAACUACGUGCCAGCAGCCGCGGUAAUACGUAGGGUGCAAGCGUUAAUCGGAAUUACUGGGCGUAAAGCGUGCGCAGGCGGUUUGCUAAGACCGAUGUGAAAUCCCCGGGCUCAACCUGGGAACUGCAUUGGUGACUGGCAGGCUAGAGUAUGGCAGAGGGGGGUAGAAUUCCACGUGUAGCAGUGAAAUGCGUAGAGAUGUGGAGGAAUACCGAUGGCGAAGGCAGCCCCCUGGGCCAAUACUGACGCUCAUGCACGAAAGCGUGGGGGAGCAAACAGGAUUAGAUACCCUGGUAGUCCACGCCCUAAACGAUGUCAACUAGUUGUUGGGGAUUCAUUUCCUUAGUAACGUAGCUAACGCGUGAAGUUGACCGCCUGGGGAGUACGGUCGCAAGAUUAAAACUCAAAUGAAUUGACGGGGUCAUAGCUGUUUCCU